GUCCUAAUUUAUUUUCAUCUUUGUGUGUCUUUUUGCUAUUUUCAAUGGCUAUAGAACCAAGAAAUGCUACAAGAAUGUGCUGGCUGGGACUCUAGUGAAUGGGACCAACCCACCAGUAGUUGCAACAACCCAGAGUGUGAUUAGUCCUAAUAGUGUUAGUGACCAAGUUUCGUUGUGCAACACCAGAAUGCCUCCUAUCAGGCCUGACCAACAGGGCCUACCACAAGGACUAACACCAGAGCAAGUUCACCAGCGCAUCAGGGAAAUGGAGGUUCAAACUGCU
This 283-nucleotide unclassified non-coding RNA is filed under the name Hevea brasiliensis (rubber tree). The record is from RNAcentral. Lineage: Eukaryota; Viridiplantae; Streptophyta; Magnoliopsida; Malpighiales; Euphorbiaceae.